Molecule: ribosomal RNA, 253 nt
Filed under: uncultured bacterium
Lineage: Bacteria
Description: partial 16S ribosomal RNA
Rfam family: Bacterial small subunit ribosomal RNA
Source: RNAcentral
UACGGAGGGUGCAAGCGUUAUCCGGAUUCACUGGGUUUAAAGGGCGCGUAGGCGGCGUGUUAAGUCAGCUGUGAAAUCUCCAAGCUUAACUUGGAACGGUCAGCUGAUACUGAUGUGCUAGAGUGCAGAAGGGGCAAUCGGAAUUCUUGGUGUAGCGGUGAAAUGCGUAGAUAUCAAGAGGAACACCUGAGGUGAAGACGGGUUGCUGGGCUGACACUGACGCUGAGGCGCGAAAGCUAGGGUAGCAAACGGG